This is a non-coding RNA of Lonchura striata (white-rumped munia), 313 nucleotides long. Lineage: Eukaryota; Metazoa; Chordata; Aves; Passeriformes; Estrildidae. The record is from RefSeq and is a predicted model, not a curated record.
AGAAUGUAUCUCAGCCAAGUAUAAAUGCCUGAAAGAAGUGAUGUCUCAUUUGGUCUGCAGACAAGCAAAACAGCUUGGGUUUCAUUUUAAAUUAAAGCUGAAGAAGGAAAUCUGGUUUUUCUGAACAAAUGAAGGUUUUCAGCAACGGUGGAUCUUUUCCUGGUAUGCUGCCUCGCACUCAGCUCUCAGUGCUGGUGGGAAGUCAUCUUCUCUUCACCUGUAGAUAAGAUGGAAAUGAAGCACUCAUCUUGCUCUCAAGGAGAUGGCAAGAGCCCCAGGAGGAUGGCAGCCCUGCAGUAAACUGUAAUCACAG